AUUGAACGCUGGCGGCAGGCCUAACACAUGCAAGUCGAGCGGAUGAAGGGAGCUUGCUCCUGGAUUCAGCGGCGGACGGGUGAGUAAUGCCUAGGAAUCUGCCUGGUAGUGGGGGAUAACGUCCGGAAACGGGCGCUAAUACCGCAUACGUCCUGAGGGAGAAAGUGGGGGAUCUUCGGACCUCACGCUCUCAGAUGAGCCUAGGUCGGAUUAGCUAGUUGGUGGGGUAAAGGCCUACCAAGGCGACGAUCCGUAACUGGUCUGAGAGGAUGAUCAGUCACACUGGAACUGAGACACGGUCCAGACGCCUACGGGAGGCAGCAGUGGGGAAUAUUGGACAAUGGGCGAAAGCCUGAUCCAGCCAUGCCGCGUGUGUGAAGAAGGUCUUCGGAUUGUAAAGCACUUUAAGUUGGGAGGAAGGGCAGUAAGUUAAUACCUUGCUGUUUUGACGGUACCAACAGAAUAAGCACCGGCUAACUUCGUG
RNAcentral lists this ribosomal RNA (484 nucleotides) under uncultured bacterium. Its description in RNAcentral is "partial 16S ribosomal RNA". It matches the Rfam family "Bacterial small subunit ribosomal RNA", at positions 30 to 507 of the family's 1533-position model. The record is from RNAcentral.